RNAcentral lists this ribosomal RNA (250 nucleotides) under uncultured bacterium. RNAcentral describes it as "partial 16S ribosomal RNA". It matches the Rfam family "Bacterial small subunit ribosomal RNA", at positions 524 to 773 of the family's 1533-position model. The record is from RNAcentral.
GACGGAGGGCGCAAGCGUUGUUCGGAAUUACUGGGCGUAAAGCGCGGGCAGGCGGUCUGUUAAGUCGUUUGUGAAAAUCCGGAGCUCAACUCCGGAAAUGCGUACGAUACUGGCAGGCUGGAGAUCGGUAGAGGCUAGCGGAAUUCCUGGUGUAGCGGUGGAAUGCGUAGAUAUCAGGAAGAACACCUGUGGCGAAGGCGGCUAGCUGGGCCGAGUCUGACGCUCAUCCGCGAAAGCGUGGGGAGCAAAC